ACGCUGGCGGCAGGCUUAACACAUGCAAGUCGAACGGUAACAGGGAUUAGCUUGCUAAUUUGCUGACGAGUGGCGGACGGGUGAGUAAUGCUUGGGAAUCUGGCUUAUGGAGGGGGAUAACUACGGGAAACUGUAGCUAAUACCGCGUAAAAUCUUCGGAUUAAAGGGUGGGACUUUCGAGCCACCUGCCAUAAGAUGAGCCCAAGUGGGAUUAGGUAGUUGGUUAGGUAAAGGCUGACCAAGCCGACGAUCUCUAGCUGGUCUGAGAGGAUGACCAGCCACACUGGAACUGAGACACGGUCCAGACUCCUACGGGAGGCAGCAGUGGGGAAUAUUGCACAAUGGGGGGAACCCUGAUGCAGCCAUGCCGCGUGAAUGAAGAAGGCCUUCGGGUUGUAAAGUUCUUUCGGUGACGAGGAAGGUUGAUAGGUUAAUAGCCUAUCAAAUUGACGUUAAUCACAGAAGAAGCACCGGCUAACUCCGUGCCAGCAGCCGCGGUAAUACGGGGGGUGCGAGCGUUAAUCGGAAUAACUGGGCGUAAAGGGCACGCAGGCGGUGACUUAAGUGCGAUGUGAAAGCCCCGGGCUUAACCUGGGAAUUGCAUUUCAUACUGGGUCGCUAGAGUACUUUAGGGAGGGGUAGAAUUCCACGUGUAGCGGUGAAAUGCGUAGAGAUGUGGAGGAAUACCGAAGGCGAAGGCAGCCCCUUGGGAAUGUACUGACGCUCAUGUGCGAAAGCGUGGGGAGCAAACAGGAUUAGAUACCCUGGUAGUCCACGCUGUAAACGAUGUCGAUUUGGGGAUUGGGCUUUGAGCUUGGUGCCCGUAGCUAACGUGAUAAAUCGACCGCCUGGGGAGUACGGCCGCAAGGUUAAAACUCAAAUGAAUUGACGGGGGCCCGCACAAGCGGUG
This 910-nucleotide ribosomal RNA is filed under the name uncultured bacterium. RNAcentral's name for it is "bacterial SSU rRNA". It matches the Rfam family "Bacterial small subunit ribosomal RNA", at positions 33 to 934 of the family's 1533-position model. The record is from RNAcentral.